CCUACGGGAGGCAGCAGUGAGGAAUAUUGGUCAAUGGACGAGAGUCUGAACCAGCCAAGUAGCGUGAAGGAUGACUGCCCUAUGGGUUGUAAACUUCGUUUAUAAAGGAAUACAGUGAGGCACGUGUGCCUUUUUGUAUGUACUUUAUGAUUAAGGAUCGGCUAACUCCGUGCCAGCAGCCGCGGUAAUACGGAGGAUCCGACCGUUAUCCGGAUUUAUUGGGUUUAAAGGGAGCGUAGAUGGGUUGUUAAGUCAGUUGGGAAAGUUUGCGGCUCAACCGUAAGAUUGCAAUUGAUACUGGCAGUCUUGAGUACAGUAGAGGUAGGCGGAAUUCGUGGUGUAGCGGUGAAAUGCUUAGAUAUAACGAAGAACUCCGAUUGCGAAGGCAGCUUACUAAACUGCCACUGACACUGAGGCUCGAAAGUGUGGGUAGCAAACAGGAUUAGAUACCCUGGUAGUC
Molecule: ribosomal RNA, 460 nt
Filed under: uncultured bacterium
Lineage: Bacteria
Description: partial 16S ribosomal RNA
Rfam family: Bacterial small subunit ribosomal RNA
Source: RNAcentral